UGCGUCAGACGCUACGCCGGGUGCGGGUGUGUGCGUGCGUCCUCGGGCAGCAUUCGGGCGCGCGAAGUUACAGGACUCCAAAGAGCUUGGUGGAAGAGGAAGGCCACAGACUGUUCUAGGUGGACUAGCAGAGGACACGGAGUGUGAGCAACACAGGAGUUCUGUGGCUGAUCCACUGCGCCAAGGCUGGAGACCUGAGGCACUGAGAUAUUUGCUUUUUGGAUCUGUGAUAUCACCCAAUUUAUUUAAGUUUUUGACCUCACUGUGAGGCAUGAGAGAUCUUAGUUCCCCGACCAGGGAUCAAACCUGCAUCCCCC
Molecule: long non-coding RNA, 317 nt
Filed under: Bos mutus (wild yak)
Lineage: Eukaryota; Metazoa; Chordata; Mammalia; Artiodactyla; Bovidae
Description: lncRNA (ENSBMUG00000023305.1)
Source: RNAcentral